This 4016-nucleotide unclassified non-coding RNA is filed under the name Mus musculus (house mouse). Its description in RNAcentral is "5' external transcribed spacer". The record is from RNAcentral. Lineage: Eukaryota; Metazoa; Chordata; Mammalia; Rodentia; Muridae.
ACUGACACGCUGUCCUUUCCCUAUUAACACUAAAGGACACUAUAAAGAGACCCUUUCGAUUUAAGGCUGUUUUGCUUGUCCAGCCUAUUCUUUUUACUGGCUUGGGUCUGUCGCGGUGCCUGAAGCUGUCCCCGAGCCACGCUUCCUGCUUUCCCGGGCUUGCUGCUUGCGUGUGCUUGCUGUGGGCAGCUUGUGACAACUGGGCGCUGUGACUUUGCUGCGUGUCAGACGUUUUUCCCGAUUUCCCCGAGGUGUCGUUGUCACACCUGUCCCGGUUGGAAUGGUGGAGCCAGCUGUGGUUGAGGGCCACCUUAUUUCGGCUCACUUUUUUUUUUUUUUUUUUUCUCUUGGAGUCCCGAACCUCCGCUCUUUUCUCUUCCCGGUCUUUCUUCCACAUGCCUCCCGAGUGCAUUUCUUUUUGUUUUUUUUCUUUUUUUUUUUUUUUUUUUGGGGAGGUGGAGAGUCCCGAGUACUUCACUCCUGUCUGUGGUGUCCAAGUGUUCAUGCCACGUGCCUCCCGAGUGCACUUUUUUUUGUGGCAGUCGCUCGUUGUGUUCUCUUGUUCUGUGUCUGCCCGUAUCAGUAACUGUCUUGCCCCGCGUGUAAGACAUUCCUAUCUCGCUUGUUUCUCCCGAUUGCGCGUCGUUGCUCACUCUUAGAUCGAUGUGGUGCUCCGGAGUUCUCUUCGGGCCAGGGCCUAAGCCGCGCCAGGCGAGGGACGGACAUUCAUGGCGAAUGGCGGCCGUUCUUCUCGUUCUGCCAGCGGGCCCCUCGUCUCUCCACCCCAUCCGUCUGCCGGUGGUGUGUGGAAGGCAGGGGUGCGGCUCUCCGGCCCGAGCGCUGCCCCGCGCGCACUUUUCUCAGUGGUUCGCGUGGUCCUUGUGGAUGUGUGAGGCGCCCGGUUGUGCCCUCACGUGUUUCACUUUGGUCGUGUCUCGCUUGACCAUGUUCCCAGAGUCGGUGGAUGUGGCCGGUGGCGUUGCAUACCCUUCCCGUCUGGUGUGUGCACGCGCUGUUUCUUGUAAGCGUCGAGGUGCUCCUGGAGCGUUCCAGGUUUGUCUCCUAGGUGCCUGCUUCUGAGCUGGUGGUGGCGCUCCCCAUUCCCUGGUGUGCCUCCGGUGCUCCGUCUGGCUGUGUGCCUUCCCGUUUGUGUCUGAGAAGCCCGUGAGAGGGGGGUCGAGGAGAGAAGGAGGGGCAAGACCCCCCUUCUUCGUCGGGUGAGCGCCCACCCCGCGCACUAGUACGCCUGUGCGUAGGGCUGGUGCUGAGCGGUCGCGGCUGGCCUUGGAAAGUUUCUCGAGAGACUCAUUGCUUUCCCGUGGGGAGCUUUGAGAGGCCUGGCUUUCGGGGGGGACCGGUUGCAGGGUCUCCCCUGUCCGCGGAUGCUCAGAAUGCCCUUGGAAGAGAACCUUCCUGUUGCCGCAGACCCCCCCGCGCGGUCGCCCGCGUGUUGGUCUUCUGGUUUCCCUGUGUGCUCGUCGCAUGCAUCCUCUCUCGGUGGCCGGGGCUCGUCGGGGUUUUGGGUCCGUCCCGCCCUCAGUGAGAAAGUUUCCUUCUCUAGCUAUCUUCCGGAAAGGGUGCGGGCUUCUUACGGUCUCGAGGGGUCUCUCCCGAAUGGUCCCCUGGAGGGCUCGCCCCCUGACCGCCUCCCGCGCGCGCAGCGUUUGCUCUCUCGUCUACCGCGGCCCGCGCCUCCCCGCUCCGAGUUCGGGGAGGGAUCACGCGGGGCAGAGCCUGUCUGUCGUCCUGCCGUUGCUGCGGAGCCAUGUGGCUCCGGUUGUGUGGUUGGUGGCUGGGGAGAGGGCUCCGUGCACACCCCCGCGUGCGCGGUACUUUCCUCCCCUCCUGAGGGCCGCCGUGCGGGACGGGGUGUGGGUAGGCGACGGUGGGCUCCCGGGUCCCCACCCGUCUUCCCGUGCCUCACCCGUGCCUUCCGUCGCGUGCGUCCCUCUCGCUCGCGUCCACGACUUUGGCCGCUCCCGCGACGCGGGCCUGCGCCGCGCGUGGUGCGUGCUGUGUGCUUCUCGGGCUGUGUGGUUGUGUCGCCUCGCCCCCCCCUUCCCGCGGCAGCGUUCCCACGGCUGGCGAAAUCGCGGGAGUCCUCCUUCCCCUCCUCGGGGUCGAGAGGGUCCGUGUCUGGCGUUGAUUGAUCUCGCUCUCGGGGACGGGACCGUUCUGUGGGAGAACGGCUGUUGGCCGCGUCCGGCGCGACGUCGGACGUGGGGACCCACUGCCGCUCGGGGGUCUUCGUCGGUAGGCAUCGGUGUGUCGGCAUCGGUCUCUCUCUCGUGUCGGUGUCGCCUCCUCGGGCUCCCGGGGGGCCGUCGUGUUUCGGGUCGGCUCGGCGCUGCAGGUGUGGUGGGACUGCUCAGGGGAGUGGUGCAGUGUGAUUCCCGCCGGUUUUGCCUCGCGUGCCCUGACCGGUCCGACGCCCGAGCGGUCUCUCGGUCCCUUGUGAGGACCCCCUUCCGGGAGGGGCCCGUUUCGGCCGCCCUUGCCGUCGUCGCCGGCCCUCGUUCUGCUGUGUCGUUCCCCCCUCCCCGCUCGCCGCAGCCGGUCUUUUUUCCUCUCUCCCCCCCUCUCCUCUGACUGACCCGUGGCCGUGCUGUCGGACCCCCCGCAUGGGGGGCGGCCGGGCACGUACGCGUCCGGGCGGUCACCGGGGUCUUGGGGGGGGGCCGAGGGGUAAGAAAGUCGGCUCGGCGGGCGGGAGGAGCUGUGGUUUGGAGGGCGUCCCGGCCCCGCGGCCGUGGCGGUGUCUUGCGCGGUCUUGGAGAGGGCUGCGUGCGAGGGGAAAAGGUUGCCCCGCGAGGGCAAAGGGAAAGAGGCUAGCAGUGGUCAUUGUCCCGACGGUGUGGUGGUCUGUUGGCCGAGGUGCGUCUGGGGGGCUCGUCCGGCCCUGUCGUCCGUCGGGAAGGCGCGUGUUGGGGCCUGCCGGAGUGCCGAGGUGGGUACCCUGGCGGUGGGAUUAACCCCGCGCGCGUGUCCCGGUGUGGCGGUGGGGGCUCCGGUCGAUGUCUACCUCCCUCUCCCCGAGGUCUCAGGCCUUCUCCGCGCGGGCUCUCGGCCCUCCCCUCGUUCCUCCCUCUCGCGGGGUUCAAGUCGCUCGUCGACCUCCCCUCCUCCGUCCUUCCAUCUCUCGCGCAAUGGCGCCGCCCGAGUUCACGGUGGGUUCGUCCUCCGCCUCCGCUUCUCGCCGGGGGCUGGCCGCUGUCCGGUCUCUCCUGCCCGACCCCCGUUGGCGUGGUCUUCUCUCGCCGGCUUCGCGGACUCCUGGCUUCGCCCGGAGGGUCAGGGGGCUUCCCGGUUCCCCGACGUUGCGCCUCGCUGCUGUGUGCUUGGGGGGGGCCCGCUGCGGCCUCCGCCCGCCCGUGAGCCCCUGCCGCACCCGCCGGUGUGCGGUUUCGCGCCGCGGUCAGUUGGGCCCUGGCGUUGUGUCGCGUCGGGAGCGUGUCCGCCUCGCGGCGGCUAGACGCGGGUGUCGCCGGGCUCCGACGGGUGGCCUAUCCAGGGCUCGCCCCCGCCGUCCCCCGCCUGCCCGUCCCGGUGGUGGUCGUUGGUGUGGGGAGUGAAUGGUGCUACCGGUCAUUCCCUCCCGCGUGGUUUGACUGUCUCGCCGGUGUCGCGCUUCUCUUUCCGCCAACCCCCACGCCAACCCACCACCCUGUGCUCCGCGCCCGGUGCGGUCGACGUUCCGGCUCUCCCGAUGCCGAGGGGUUCGGGAUUUGUGCCGGGGACGGAGGGGAGAGCGGGUAAGAGAGGUGUCGGAGAGCUGUCCCGGGGCGACGCUCGGGUUGGCUUUGCUGCGUGCGUGUGCUCGCGGACGGGUUUUGUCGGACCCCGACGGGGUCGGUCCGGCCGCAUGCACUCUCCCGUUCCGCGCGAGCGCCCGCCCGGCUCACCCCCGGUUUGUCCUCCCGCGAGGCUCUCCGCCGCCGCCGCCUCCUCCUCCUCUCUCGCGCUCUCUGUCCCGCCUGGUCCUGUCCCACCCCCGACGGCUUCGCUCGCGCUUCCUU